AUAAACCCGCACACUCCUGUAGCUCAACCCCAAAGCGCUGGC
Molecule: transfer RNA, 42 nt
Filed under: Crocodylus porosus (Australian saltwater crocodile)
Lineage: Eukaryota; Metazoa; Chordata; Crocodylia; Crocodylidae
Description: partial tRNA-Thr
Source: RNAcentral